GGGCGUAAAGAGCUCGUAGGUGGUUCGUUACGUCGGAUGUGAAAAUCUGGGGCUCAACCCCAGACCUGCAUUCGAUACGGGCGAUCUAGAGUGUGGUAGGGGAGACUGGAAUUCCUGGUGUAGCGGUGGAAUGCGCAGAUAUCAGGAGGAACACCAAUGGCGAAGGCAGGUCUCAGGGCCAUUACUGACACUGAGGAGCGAAAGCGUGGGGAGCGAACAGGAUUAGAUACCCUGGUAGUCCACGCCGUAAACGGUGGGCACUAGUUGUGGGAACCUUCCACGGUUUCUGCGACGCAGCUAACGCAUUAAGUGCCCCGCCUGGGGAGUACGAUCGCAAGAUUAAAACUCAAAGGAAUUGACGGGGCCCCGCACAAGCAGCGGAGCAUGCGGCUUAAUUCGACGCAACGCGAAGAACCUUACCAAGGGUUGACAUAUACCGGAAUAUGGCAGAGAUGUCAUAGCUGUAAAAGGUCGGUAUACAGGUGGUGCAUGGUUGUCGUCAGCUCGUGUCGUGAGAUGUUGGGUUAAGUCCCGCAACGAGCGCAACCCUCGUUCUGUGUUGCCAGCAUUUAGUUGGGGACUCACAGGAGACUGCCGGGGUCAACUCGGAGGAAGGUAAU
RNAcentral lists this ribosomal RNA (620 nucleotides) under uncultured Actinomycetes bacterium. RNAcentral describes it as "bacterial SSU rRNA". It matches the Rfam family "Bacterial small subunit ribosomal RNA", at positions 556 to 1177 of the family's 1533-position model. The record is from RNAcentral. Lineage: Bacteria; Bacillati; Actinomycetota; Actinomycetes.